Apis dorsata (giant honeybee) is the source of this 199-nucleotide long non-coding RNA. RefSeq lists it as uncharacterized. The transcript has 2 exons. NCBI's taxonomy places the organism in Eukaryota, Metazoa, Arthropoda, Insecta, Hymenoptera, Apidae. The record is from RefSeq and is a predicted model, not a curated record.
GCGGAUGCAAUAAAUAGAUAAAAAGGUAAAAGAUCGUACUUGACGAGAAGAAUGAAUGCUUCUUAUUGCUUUCAUCGUGCCAGAUAUGCGAUUAAUAGAGCAAGACCGAUAAUUGCAAUGAAUUUUACGCUCGAUUUGUUGAAACAUCUCUGUUCGAGAUUAUUAUAUCACAUUGCACACGACAUAUAAAAAAAAAAAA